This is a long non-coding RNA of Oryctolagus cuniculus (rabbit), 1770 nucleotides long. The record is from Ensembl. NCBI's taxonomy places the organism in Eukaryota, Metazoa, Chordata, Mammalia, Lagomorpha, Leporidae.
AUGGGCAAAGCUGUGAACACCUCGGCCUGCCUUGCUGGCCCAGGGUCCCGUCCAUGUGUGCGGCUCCCUGAGAUGUGGAGAUGCACCCAGCUGACCUUUACUGCGUGUUAUGCGCUCCGCUCUCCGUGGGCCAGCCUGUGCGCUGCUCAGCCCUACCCACUUUCCUCAGAUGAACCAGGGACGGCCGUGGGCCCUGGGUACCGGUCAGAACCCGAGGUAAUGAGCUCCUCUCUCCGUGUUUCCGUGGCCCACGUGGCCUCGAUCACUUUGCGUGAGCCUCCUGGAUCAGCCAAAGGCACUGUCAUUGUUGGCCUGGGGUCCAGACAAACAGAACAACCGUUACGUGAACACUGCUGGUCGCAGGAACAGAGGGAGAGACCGAGAGGGACGGGACCCUGCCCAGACUUGGGCUUCCUCCGAGCUGCUGCUCACGUCCCACUGGGCGAAGCAAGUCAUGUGCCUGCAUCUAACUCCCCGUGCGGCACAGGACAAGGCGGCUGCGUUUCGGGGAGGUUGUGUGAAUUCGUGUCCCUUAAGCACUUAGAACAGCACCUUGUGCCCAGUGAGCCCCGCGCAGUGUUAGCUGGGACCCCGCUGCUGUCUCUGUUGUUUGCUGUUAAGGACAGGGACCCCAAGGCUCAGGAAGGUGCAGUGACUUGCUCAAAGCCAGGACCCGGGCUGGGGAAGCCCAGACAGAAACCUGUGACAGCCGGUGGCCUCUUGGUGCUGUCCUCAGGGCCCGAGUCCCGGCUGUUCAAGGAACAGGGCCAACUCAGGAACGGACAAGCCCCACUCUCUACUCCCAGAGAGGAGCCAGGUGUGUGUGUGCCUGUGUGUGUCUGUAUCAGUGUGUGUGUGUCUCUGUGUAUCUAUGUGUGUGUUUGUGUGUGCUUACAUGUGUCUGCAUGUGUGUGUCUCUGCGAUUGUGUGUAUCUGUGUGUGUCUGCAUCUCUGUGUGUAUGUAUCUGUGUGUCUGUGUGUGCGUGUAUCUGUGUGUGUCUGUGUGUCUCUGUGUGUAUGUAUCUGUGUGUCUGUGUGUGUAUCUGUGUGUCUCUCUGUGUGUGCUUGCACACACCUGUGUGCCUGUGUGUAUGUAUCUGUGUGUGUAUAUAUCUGUGUGUGUCUCUGUGGUUGUGUGUAUAUCUGUGUGUGUCUGUGUGUCUACAUAUCUCUGGGUCUAUGUGUAUGUAUCUCUGUGUGUGUGUCUCUGUGUGUUUGCAUGCGUCUGUGUUUGUGUGUGUGUGCACGUGUGACCAACAGACAUGGAACACACAGAGAGAGACAGGCAUGGAGCAGACAGGCCCCUCGGGAGCCAGCUCAGCAGACUGGUGGAGGCAGGGUACGGGGGGACCCCUGCAGACCCCUGCAGAAGCGGCCGUGGCUCCUGUUCCCGGGACUCAGGCAGGCCUGGCGGGGGAGGUGGUGUCUGCUGGACUCCCCAGCCUGGAGUCGGAGACGGGGGAGGAGAGUGAGCGUCUGCUGAGGGUGUCUGGGGCAAGAGCGAGGCCGCGGUCUGUUCUGACCAGAGCGCACUGCCACGAAGGGGCACACACGGCAACUGCCGGCCACUCCCGCACUGCUGGCAGCAAGGACCGGAGGCUUAUCAUGGCAUUCCGGCAGAUGGCAGCAAACGCCAGGACCCAGUGCUGGGCUGGGGAUUCCCUCCGUCCCCGCUGCUGGCUGGGCGCACUGUGUCCCUCUGUGGGGGUGUCCCCUCCAGAUGUUGCUCCCGGGACUUCCACAAGUCCCUUCACUGAGGUCCCCAGGUAA